CAACUUUCAGCAACGGAUCUCUUGGCUCUCGCAUCGAUGAAGAACGCAGCGAAUUGCGAUAUGUAAUGUGAAUUGCAGAUCUACAGUGAAUCAUCAAAUCUUUGAACGCACAUUGCGCUCCUCGGUGUUCCGAGGAGCAUGCCUGUUUGAGUGUCAGUAAAUUCU
RNAcentral lists this ribosomal RNA (165 nucleotides) under Chroogomphus filiformis. Its description in RNAcentral is "5.8S ribosomal RNA". It matches the Rfam family "5.8S ribosomal RNA". From Rfam's summary of the family: 5.8S ribosomal RNA (5.8S rRNA) is a component of the large subunit of the eukaryotic ribosome. It is transcribed by RNA polymerase I as part of the 45S precursor that also contains 18S and 28S rRNA. Lineage: Eukaryota; Fungi; Basidiomycota; Agaricomycetes; Boletales; Gomphidiaceae. The record is from RNAcentral.